RNAcentral lists this long non-coding RNA (706 nucleotides) under Olea europaea subsp. europaea. The record is from RNAcentral. Lineage: Eukaryota; Viridiplantae; Streptophyta; Magnoliopsida; Lamiales; Oleaceae.
CUCCAUAUAUACAAAUCACAACAACAUGAAAAAAUGAAUUUGAAAAAUUGAAAAAGAAAGUAACCCAAAUAUUGAAAUUUAAAACUACAUUCUCUUCUUCUCUAAAUGCCUAACAAGAAUGUUGUAAGUUUUGAUUACUCAAUUCAACCAAACGAGUGUUUAAGGGAAUGGCAAUGAUAAAUUUUAGGGUUUCACGAAUGGGAGAAUAUGAUAAGAAAAUGAGAAUAAUUACAUAGAAAUGUCGUAUCGACUGUGGAAGAAGGGAAGUCAAAAUUGAAUUAAGACCAAUUAGAAAUUGAAAGGAGAAUUAUGGGCAUUAUGUCUUUUUAAAUACAAGGACGUUUUAGUAAUUUACAAAUUGUACUUUCCCGUUCUUUGGUUGUUAACAUCUCUCUCUCUCUCGUUUAACAUUCUUUUCAAACUUUACGAAACAUCUACUUUUCGUGCACUCGAUCUAACCUCACGUUCACUCAAUUACCUAACCUUCCAUCUAGACGAAAUUCUUAGAACACUGUUUUUAACGAAGAUACGUAAUUCUAGUGCGACACAUCGAGCAUAGCAUAAGAGAAAUCGCAAAUAAAAUAAAUGAAUUCAUAAAAACAUUAACUUCACACAUCAUUGAUUUAAAAAAAUAAGUUGCUAUACAUAUCUAUAGUAUAUUAAAUAUCACAUCAAGUGAAUCAUUUUUUGAACAAUUAUAUCUUAC